GGCGGAUGUAGCCAAGG
RNAcentral lists this transfer RNA (17 nucleotides) under Lotus angustissimus. RNAcentral's name for it is "partial tRNA-His". The record is from RNAcentral. RNAcentral also lists the same sequence under 2 other names. Lineage: Eukaryota; Viridiplantae; Streptophyta; Magnoliopsida; Fabales; Fabaceae.